Molecule: ribosomal RNA, 253 nt
Filed under: uncultured bacterium
Lineage: Bacteria
Description: partial 16S ribosomal RNA
Rfam family: Bacterial small subunit ribosomal RNA
Source: RNAcentral
UACGGGGGGGGCAAGCGUUGUUCGGAAUUACUGGGCGUAAAGGACUCGUAGGCGGCCAACUAAGUCGGAUGUGAAAUCCCCAGGCUUAACCUGGGAACUGCAUCCGAUACUGGAUGGCUUGAAUCCGGGAGAGGGAUGCGGAAUUCCAGGUGUAGCGGUGAAAUGCGUAGAUAUCUGGAGGAACACCGGUGGCGAAGGCGGCAUCCUGGACCGGCAUUGACGCUGAGGCGCGAAAGCUAGGGGAGCAAACGGG